UUUUUUAUAAAAAUAAUUUAUUUAUUUAAGGUUUAAGUAUUUAGAAAAAAUUAAUUUUUAGAUUUAUAGUUUAAUAGUAUUGUAAAAGAAAUUGUUAAAUUUUAUAAAGAAUUUUAUAGUACCUUUUGUAUCAGGGUUGAUUAAAAUUUUUAAUUUUUUUUUAAUUUCUCAAAAUUUAUAGAGUUAAUUUUAUUAUUAAUUUAUUGUGGUAAAAAUAUUUAUAAAAUAAUAUUAGUUUUGAAAUUUAAUUCGUUAUAUUAUAUUUAGUUAUUUAAGAUUUAAAUUUAAUUUAAAAUUUUAAAAGUUGUAUUAAUUUUAUUGAUUAAUAUUUUAAAUUUAAAUUAUUUUAGGGAUAAGCUUGAAAUUUUAAUAUAAUAAUUUAUUUAUUUUAAUAAUUUAUAGGAAUAGAAAUUUUUAUUUAAGUUUGUAAAAAUUUAUUAUUUAUUUAAUUUUAAUUUAUUAUAUUUAUAUUUAUUUUUAAUAUUAAAUUUUAUUAAUUAAUAUUUAAUUAAUAGUAAUAAUGAUUAAAUUAGUAUAAUAUAUAAAUUUAUAAAUUAUGAAUUCGGCAAAAAUUAUUUUCAUCUGUUUAACAAAAACAUUGUAUUAAGUUUAAUUUAAUAUAGGAUCUGCUCAAUGAUUUAUUAAAUAGCUGCAGUAUUUUGACUGUGCAAAGGUAGCAUAAUAAUUAGUCUUUUAAUUGAGGACUUGAAUGAAAGAUUUGAUGAGAAAUAGACUUUAUUAUUUAUAAAAUUAAAAUUUUAUUUUUAAGUAAAAAAGCUUAAAUUAUUUAAAGGGACGAUAAGACCCUAUAAAACUUUAUAAAUUUUGAUUUUAAUUUUUUUGGAUUCAUAAAUAUUUUAUAAUUAAAAUUUAUUUUAUUGGGGUGAUAAAAAAAAUUAUUAAACUUUUUUUAAAAUUUAACAUUAUUUAAUGAUUAGUUGAAUUAAAAUUUUUAAUUAAAGGAAAAAGUUACUUUAGGGAUAACAGCGUAAUUAAUUUUUUAAGUUCAAAUUUAAAAAUUAGUUUGCGACCUCGAUGUUGAAUUAAGAUUAAUCUUAGGUGCAAAAUUUUAAGUAUUAGGUCUGUUCGACCUUUAAA
Molecule: ribosomal RNA, 1098 nt
Filed under: Aphis gossypii (cotton aphid)
Lineage: Eukaryota; Metazoa; Arthropoda; Insecta; Hemiptera; Aphididae
Description: partial 16S large subunit ribosomal RNA
Source: RNAcentral